This 491-nucleotide ribosomal RNA is filed under the name uncultured bacterium. RNAcentral's name for it is "partial 16S ribosomal RNA". It matches the Rfam family "Bacterial small subunit ribosomal RNA", at positions 29 to 506 of the family's 1533-position model. The record is from RNAcentral.
AGUGAACGCUGGCGGUAGGCCUAACACAUGCAAGUCGAACGGCAGCACAGUAAGAGCUUGCUCUUACGGGUGGCGAGUGGCGGACGGGUGAGGAAUACAUCGGAAUCUACUUUUUCGUGGGGGAUAACGUAGGGAAACUUACGCUAAUACCGCAUACGACCUACGGGUGAAAGCAGGGGAUCUUCGGACCUUGCGCGAUUGAAUGAGCCGAUGUCGGAUUAGCUAGUUGGCGGGGUAAAGGCCCACCAAGGCGACGAUCCGCAGCUGGUCAGAGAGGAUGAUCAGCCACACUGGAACUGAGACACGGUCCAGACUCCUACGGGAGGCAGCAGUGGGGAAUAUUGGACAAUGGGCGCAAGCCUGAUCCAGCCAUACCGCGUGGGUGAAGAAGGCCUUCGGGUUGUAAAGCCCUUUUGUUGGGAAAGAAAAGCAGCAGGUUAAUACCCCGCUGUUCUGACGGUACCCAAAGAAUAAGCACCGGCUAACUUCGU